GUACCACUUGUGUACGCCGCUGAGCGUGAUCUCCGGCGAAGCGAUGUCGAUCGAUGUUGGCAUUGUUGUCUCCAG
RNAcentral lists this small RNA (75 nucleotides) under Sinorhizobium meliloti 2011. RNAcentral's name for it is "putative ncRNA". Lineage: Bacteria; Pseudomonadati; Pseudomonadota; Alphaproteobacteria; Hyphomicrobiales; Rhizobiaceae. The record is from RNAcentral.